GACGAACGCUGGCGGCGUGCUUAACACAUGCAAGUCGAACGGAAAGGCCCUGCUUUUGUGGGGUGCUCGAGUGGCGAACGGGUGAGUAACACGUGAGUAACCUGCCCUUGACUUUGGGAUAACUUCAGGAAACUGGGGCUAAUACCGGAUAGGAGCUCCUGCUGCAUGGUGGGGGUUGGAAAGUUUCGGCGGUUGGGGAUGGACUCGCGGCUUAUCAGCUUGUUGGUGGGGUAGUGGCUUACCAAGGCUUUGACGGGUAGCCGGCCUGAGAGGGUGACCGGCCACAUUGGGACUGAGAUACGGCCCAGACUCCUACGGGAGGCAGCAGUGGGGAAGAGUGCACAAUGGGCGGAAGCCUGAUGCAGCAACGCCGCGUGCGGGAUGACGGCCUUCGGGUUGUAAUCCGCUUUCGCCUGUGACGAAGCGUGAGUGACGGUAAUGGGUAAAGAAGCACCGGCUAACUACGUG
RNAcentral lists this ribosomal RNA (468 nucleotides) under uncultured bacterium. RNAcentral describes it as "partial 16S ribosomal RNA". It matches the Rfam family "Bacterial small subunit ribosomal RNA", at positions 28 to 507 of the family's 1533-position model. The record is from RNAcentral.